UCAUUGGUGGUUCAGUGGUAGAAUUCCAGCCUUCCAUGCGGGAGACCUGGAUUCAAUUCCCAGCCACUGCA
RNAcentral lists this transfer RNA (71 nucleotides) under Loxodonta africana (African savanna elephant). It matches the Rfam family "tRNA". From Rfam's summary of the family: Transfer RNA (tRNA) molecules are approximately 80 nucleotides in length. Their secondary structure includes four short double-helical elements and three loops (D, anti-codon, and T loops). Further hydrogen bonds mediate the characteristic L-shaped molecular structure. tRNAs have two regions of fundamental functional importance: the anti-codon, which is responsible for specific mRNA codon recognition, and the 3' end, to which the tRNAs corresponding amino acid is attached (by aminoacyl-tRNA synthetases). tRNAs cope with the degeneracy of the genetic code in two manners: having more than one tRNA (with a specific anti-codon) for a particular amino acid; and 'wobble' base-pairing, i.e. permitting non-standard base-pairing at the 3rd anti-codon position. Lineage: Eukaryota; Metazoa; Chordata; Mammalia; Proboscidea; Elephantidae. The record is from Rfam by way of RNAcentral.